UGGGGAAUUUUGGACAAUGGGCGCAAGCCUGAUCCAGCAAUGCCGCGUGAGUGAAGAAGGCCCUUGGGUUGUAAAGCUCUUUCGUUUGGGAAGAAGGAAUUGUGGUUAAUACCCAUGAUGACAGACGGUACCAAAAUAAGAAGCACCGGCUAACUACGUGCCAGCAGCCGCGGUAAUACGUAGGGUGCAAGCGUUAAUCGGAAUUACUGGGCGUAAAGGGUGUGUAGGCGGUUUGUUAAGUCUGAUGUGAAAUCCCCGGGCUCAACCUGGGAACUGCGUUGGAAACUGGCAAACUAGAGUAUGUAAGAGGGGGGUGGAAUUCCACGUGUAGCAGUGAAAUGCGUAGAGAUGUGGAGGAACACCGAUGGCGAAGGCAACCCCCUGGGACAAUACUGACGCU
Molecule: ribosomal RNA, 400 nt
Filed under: uncultured bacterium
Lineage: Bacteria
Description: bacterial SSU rRNA
Rfam family: Bacterial small subunit ribosomal RNA
Source: RNAcentral